Non-coding RNA from Nothobranchius furzeri (turquoise killifish), 9595 nucleotides. The record is from RefSeq and is a predicted model, not a curated record. NCBI's taxonomy places the organism in Eukaryota, Metazoa, Chordata, Actinopteri, Cyprinodontiformes, Nothobranchiidae.
CCGUAGGUCCCGUCACAGCCGUGGCGGCAGCUACACGCAAAGGAAAAAUGCUAAAGCUAGCGAAAAUGGAGCAGGAAUAUUAAGGAGCUAGAGCAGCUUCACGUCCAUCAGCAGCGUUUGUUCACAACCGUUUUCAGGUCAGCAUGCACUGUGCUGCACAUCUGCAUCUGUACUGGUGAAGUUGUGGGUCUGGAGGAUGAGUCCGAGGAAGAUGUGUGUGGAGGCGGAGCCAUGUGUGGGCGGGACCUUGGCAGGCACACUAAAGAGUGACCUUUGGCACUUCAGUCAGUUCUUUUUCAGACUGUUUGAAUUGUUGACAGGAUCCAGAUCUACGAAACGUCUGACAGGCAAUCAUCCGAUGUCGUUGUCUCUACAGAGUCUACAGGGCUCUGUUAAUCCUUCUCAAUCACAGCCUCUACUGUUCUGUUUGCUACGCAGUGUCUCCUGCAGACAUGGACAGUAACCCUAGAAAAUGGGUGCUGAAGCCUCUGUCUCGCUUGCUGCAACCCUCAGACCUACGGUCCAUCACUGGCCCUGCACCUGACCUGGACAAACAAAGUAUUGAGUCCUCAGUGGUUGUCUCACAGCAGAGCAAUGAUUCACAAGAUGUGCUGGUUUCAGUACAGCGAGUUGCCAUAUCUCAGGAUGGGAACUCCAGCAGUGAUGAGUGGCAACCCAGCAGCCCAAGCAGCAGCUCUGGUUCUCACUGUGGUUUCUACUCUUUUGUGGAUGAUCCCAAAAGUCCUGAAGCUGAGAAGAAUGAAGUGUGGAUGGUGUCACCACAGCGACAUGCUCAACUUGCUACUCUCAAAGAGGAGAAGGGAUUCAGACUACAGACCUAUAGCAGCAGCAAGAAGCCAGAAAGUCUAUUUUCAGAGAGUAAUGGAGACUUGCAGUACAAAGGAGAGUCAUACAGCAGCAUUCGAGCAAUGGACAAUAAUGAGGAAAAACGGCUUCGCAAGGAGAUCAUUCGUAGCCAAGCUCCCAGAAGGAACCCAGCAGAGGAUUUGGGUGCCAGUUUGAGUUUUGGUCAUGUCAAGUCCAUACCAGAAGUUCCCCACUCAACUCAAACUGGUGCCAUUGACGAGGAGCAGAUCACCUUUGGUGCAGCCAGAGAGAAGUUUCUAAGGAUGGAACAGGAUUGUCUGGCAUCAAUCCCACGCCCCAUUGAGUCCGCUAGAAUACAUCUGAACCCAAGCCUGCAACAAUUUCCUGAUGCAUAUGGGUCAAGGAUGGUAGAUAUUUACUGUUCCAUGGAUGUAAGUGAUGACACAAGGCCAUUCAAAGCAGCACCAAAAGGUGUAACUCAUUCUCAGAAGGAUAUGAUAGUUUCUGAGAAAAACCUGAGAAAGAAGAUCAAUGUUCUGGACUCUGGUUUUACAAAGCACUUGGUGGAGGGGGCUGGAAGCUUCACCAGUGAUGACGACCUAUUAAACAUUAUUCAAGUGAGCCAGACAAACAAGUCCAGAGUGCUCCAAGAAACUCCCAUUGAAAGAGAGAUCCGGUUAUCUCAGGAACGUGAGGAGGAUCUGCGCCAGUCUCGAGGACUGAAGCACAGGAAAGAUCCUGGAGAAAUUGUUGAAAUCAAUACCAAACACAUGCAACUGCCACUGACACCUGUCAGACUCCAUCAGAAGAACAAAGUAAGUUUAAUCUCCUACAACACAUUCCAGAGGGAGAACCAGAUAAGUGAGAAACCUCUGCAAUGGGGACCACUCCAGGAACAAGAUAGCCCAGAUCCUCCACUGGAAACAGAGAAUAUAGGCAGAAACACUGACCCAGACGAUGAGAACAAGACAACAAAAGAAAGGACAGCAUCAGAGUCUGAAUCAGAUGUUGUAGUCCAGCCACCAUGUUGUCCUCACAAACAUCCUGAAGAAGUCUGGUUCUACCAAACAAACCCAACCAUGUCCUUUUCUACUACGAUGGACCAGGAAGCAUUAGAUUCAUCGAAGAAAAUGGAUUCUCCUAUUUCCCUAAUGCCAGCAAGUGUUCAUGAAACAUGUUCUCUGUCCUGGAGGAAGAGCCUAGAGUCCACUGGGCUGCAGUCCAGAGGAAAAAUCACUACAGAUUUUAUUGAGAAGGAGAUUGAAGAAGCUCUGAGACGGGAACAAGAGCUAAGGGAAUUAAGGGAAUCCAUAAAGAAAACUCAUCAACCACUAUUCUCACCAACUUCCCUGGCGGAACAAGCAUCCAACAUGGCUGUCAAGAUGUUCUACCCAGCAGUAGACACAGAGAGAUCCAUCAGUAUUUCUUCUUCCUCUCAUCAUCUGAGUGCCCAUCUGCCCAUUUCUUCUAAACCCUGGACCUCCUUGCCUUCUCCUGCCUCCUCUGCUGCGCAGGUACAGCCACCUCUUUAUGUUGCUCGAGGUCUCACAGAGACUCGGCUGCAGGACUUUGAUGGAUGUCAAGCCAGAGAACUGGAGGAAAACUCUUAUGCAGGAAUCCAGUUGGUUGAUGACAUCAACAAUGAGGUAAAUGCUUCAGACUACCAUAGGACACAUGCCUAGGAAGCAGUAACACCAGCAGCACCAGUAGAACCAGUACCAGAUGCACUAUGGCGCUUACACAUUGGCGUCGGCAUGGCCGGGAACGGGACCAGUAUAGAACCGGAAUUUGGUUUCACACAUGGGUUAGAUGAGCAUUUUCCGGUCAGAGGCAACUCUUAUUUUUCAGAUCUCCUUCCCAGCGGUCAGCGUGGGACCAAGGUUACACUACGGACUGAUUAGCCAGCUGAAAUUACAUCUACUGCCUCCAGUUAGUGAGUAGAAUCAGCCAGUGGAGGGUUCCCGCGUGCAUGAUUCAUUUUCAUUCUGAAUGCUGUUAAGAAAACGUCUCUGUCUGUAGCACUAAGCUGCUGCUCAGUAGGAACGGGUAAGAGAGUGAGCUGUGUGUCCCUGCCCUCUGCAUCGGAGCUUUUGUCCCAGAGAGCCAAAAGACAGCUGCUCAGUAGAACUGCUCAGAGGCGAAAGCAGCUUGUGUGUGGCCCGCAGCAGUGGAGGACAAGAUUAUCAAGAGGACCCACAUAGUAAAUUAAUAAAAUAAUGUGGUUCAGAGUCUCAAAAGCAAUACAGCUCAUGCCCGCCUUUGUUUAUUAUGAAGGACACCGUGGACUUUCCUGCAUGCAAUAAAUGCUGCUUAUUGGCUUGGGAAUUCCCCAUUUCUGAGAACUCCUUCAAAUUUAUAGGUGAACGCUACACUGCCCAGACCAGACCGCACUCACACCAUUCAGCCCCACCAAGCCCCGACCGCGCUGAUGCUGAUGUGUAAGCGACACUAGCUGCACCAGUGAUCUGGCCAAGAGGCAGCAGCAACAGACUAGUGAUGUGCCGUUCACGAACGAAAAGGCUCUUAGAUGUGACUCUGAAUAGACCAAUCAGAGCCGGCUCAGUCUCAGAGGAGCCAAAUUGGAGUUGUUUUUCCUUUCUCGGUCCCUUUCUCUCCAUGUUUAAGCCACAUGUCACAUCAUUGAUCAACUCCUCGAUGAGCCCUCUGCUCUGCUUCUCACCCCUUCUUUCCAGCGGAGCCGUCAGCAGCACGUUACUGCAGCAGCACGUCUUGCUCGCGUAAGCUGCUGCUUGGCCCUUCCCACGAGACGCGAAUCAGCAGGGGAGCAGCUGUCACCGACCGAGCACGAAGUCCCACGAGUGACUUCGUCAGUAAACACAACAACAAGCAGGAGAAAACUACAACAUGGUUUGUGUUUUAUGUUCUGUCCGUUUUAUAAUCGCCAAUACGGACCUGAAAAACAAAGGAGACGGCUAGCUAGGUGAUAACUUCUCACGGGGACGCACAGUUAGUAACCUUUUUAAAAAGGCAGUAAAGCAACCAGAAGGCAGUACGUUUCUUUAUUCUGAAAAUCUCAGGAGCUUCUCUCCAUUUCCGCGUCCGAUUUCCUGUCUUUCCUUCCCCAAAAAUGUGGAACUUGACCCGUUUCAGAGGCGUCGCGUGUAGAAAAUAGAACCGGCGCGUAAAGGCCGCGACAUGCUGCUCCUGAGACGCGGCCGACUCGCGCUGCUGACGGCUGCUGACGGCUCCGGUAUGGAAAGCCAAAACCGCCAAAAUAUGCCACUUUCUCAACCCGCCUAGUUAAGAGAUGGUGAAAAAAAUGCCGUUUGAUGUGUCAAGACGUCGUAAAAUACGGCGAAAAGUCUCCCAGAACGCCGUAUUUGACGCCAGCCAGAGGCGUUCUUAACGGUCCCGUAGAACGCCCGGAAAAAACGACGUGUUUUUUCUGGACACUGAACGCCGUUCUUUAUGUCACCCUAAUCCCAGACGCGUUCCCUGUGUGGGUGGCGUAAAAAACGGCGUUUGGUACGGACUUUGAACGCUGCUUUUUUCGCCGAUCUGUGACAUAAAACGCCGUUUUUAACACCACUUUGUGACAGUUUUCACGCGUUUAAAAUUCAACGUUACUCUCAUUUAUGCAGAGCCCUCCCCCUGGGUUUCUCAUCCACUUAAUUUAAACUCCAGGGACCCAAUGAAAGAAGAGGAGGGAGAGGCAGCACUAAUUCAUCCCAGAUUCGCCGGGCUGAGCGGAUUGCUGUUUUCUAAUACAACUCUGCUCUGUUUCAACUAAUUUCACUGUAUUGAAAAAGCCUUGAAAUGUAGCAAUAUUAUCAACAAUGUGUCAGCAUUAUUAUUUUUCUGUCUACCUAACCUGUCUACCUGUAAAAGGCAGAAACCUGAUGAUUACUUAAAAGUGUGGCUGCCCCGUAUCAGUCUGUCCUCGUUUCGUGAGUCCAGCUGGAACAUCAGUGCUGUUUCUGUCCAAAACUCCAUUCUUCUUAACCCUCUGAUGCAUGAAUUAUGAAAUCUUCAACCAUGAUUUUUUAAACAAUUUUUUUCAUUCAUCUUUAGGUGUGAAUGAAACAAAUUUCAACAAAUAUUUUUGUAACAUUUUGUUAAUUUACAAAUAAUUUAUUACAUGUCUACCUCAGUGGACAGCGUGCACUCUGAACAUGAAAUAUGUUGGCUUGACUUGCUGAAGCUCAAAUGGAGGGGCUCAAAUGCAAUAAAGUCUAACAGCUGUGCUUAAUAGCAAAAAUAAAUAAAUAACAAUUUUGAGUCCACUGUAGUGACCAUUAUGCAUCAAAGGGUUAAGCUCAUCCACUUUCAGUAUUUACUAUUGUUUUUGUUGUUGUUGUUGUUGUUUUUCAAUUAUUGUUAUACGUGUCUUACAGGAGCUUCUGAAGAUGUUCUGUCUUGCUUCUCCAUCAUCACUCUCCAGAUCCUCAGACCAGCCACUCCAGAACCUUCCCAGAUCCAGGAUCAGAGCACUUUAAUGCUUGUUGUUCUCCUACAGAAGCCUUAAACUAGAAUUUGCUAAUGAGCUUUCUUGGCUAAAAUAUGCUCUUGAAUGUUUUUAUUUACAUUAAUAUUUCAAGACAAACGUUUUUCAUUGCUGCUUCACCAAGACAUGACUCUGAAAAUGUCCUCAUGAUCCUGAAACGCUGGUGAAAACAAAUUACUUUCAACCUCUUAUAAAACAAACGUGUCUGUUGAUGAUUAUGCCCACUACAAUACUGAAGCACCUGCAUACUUGAAGACAAGCAUUAAAGUGCUCUGAUCCUGGAUCUGGGAAGGUUCUGGAGUGGCUGGUCUGAGGAUCUGGAGAGUGAUGAUGGAGAAGCAAGACAGAACAUCUUCAGAAGCUCCUGUAAGACAAGUAUAACAGUAAAAAAAAACAACAACAACAAAAACCAAUAGUAAAUACUCAAAGUGGAUGAGCUUAAGAAGAGGGGAGUUUUGGACAGAAAGAGCACCGAUGUUCCAGCUGGACUCAGCCCGGCGAAUCUGGGAUGAAUUAGUGCUGCCUCUCCCUCCUCUUCUUUCAUUGGGUCCCUGGAGUUUAAAUUAAGUGGAUGAGAAACCCAGGGGGAGGGCUCUGCAUAAAUGAGAGUAACGUUGAAUUUUAAACGCGUGAAAACUGUCACAAAGUGGUGUUAAAACGGCGUUUUAUGUCACAGAUCGGCGAAAUAAGCGGCGUUCAAUAUCCAUACCAAACGCCGUUUUUUAUGCCACCCACACAGGGAACGCGUCUGGGAUUAGGGUGACGUAAAGAACGGCAUUCAAUGUCCGGAAAAAAACGUCGUUUUUUUACGGGCGUUCUACGGGACCGUUAAGAACGGCUCUGGCUGGCGUCAAAUACGGAGUUCUGGGAGAGUUUUGCCGUAAUUUACGACGUCUUGACACAUCAAACGGCGUUUUUUUCGCCAUCUCUUAACUAGACGGGUUGGGAAAGUGGCGUAUUUCGGCGGUUUUGGCUUUCCAUACUCCGGUGGAAAAGGUUCUGUUGACCACAGUGGUUCCUAUCAGCAGCCAUGACGUGCUGCUGCAGUAACGUGUUGCUGACGGCUCCUGUGGAAAGAAGGGGUCAGUGUUUCUGCAGCGAGCAGGAGAGGUAAGGAGGAACGGGGGACAGGUUCUGGUGUAAACUCACAGAGCAGUGGGAGGAGGAGGGUGUGAAAGGGGAGAAAAACAGUCUCCAGAAAGGUGAGGAUGUGAGUGAAAGCAGCAAAUGCAACCAGAUUUGGACAUAUUUCACUAAUACUGACAAUUCAAAGGAAGAGUGUGGACUAUGCAAAGCAAAAAUAUCUUUUCAAGCAGGUUCUACAAAGUUGUCUGUGUGAUUAUCUUAGCUUUUCUAAGUUGUUUACCUGUAAAUAGUUAAGUCUUUAAAUAUUUUACAUAUAGAGUUUAUUUUUGUUUUGUUGCAUUCUGUUUAGUGUUGGAUAGUCAGAAGUUAUUGUAAUGAUUUGUAAGUAGUCACUUUUAAUAAAUUGUCAAUAGAAUAUAAAGGUAUUCAAUUAAAUGUAAUAUUCCAUAAAAAUAUGAAUUAUCAAUAUUAAUAUUUGAUGAUGAAACUACCCUAAUUUCUGGCCUACAAGCCGCUAUUAUUUCCCUGUGCUUUGAAGCCUGUGCCCAAUAUCAUGGUGCGGCUCAUGUGUAGAUUUUUGUUGGCCAACAACCACCAGAGGCACUCUCCAGCAGUAAAGUGAGACACGCACGGCAAAACGUUACGCGUGGAAGAAGACGCUCUUUGAUUUAAAGCGGCACGUUUACACAUCAGACACACCCUCGUCAUGGAAAACACGCGGAGGAAUGCAUAUGCUGCAGCUUUCAAAUUAAAAGCGAUCGAUCUGGCCAUCAAACAAGGAAACAGAGCCACUGCACGGGAGCUUGGCAUGAAAGAAUCAAUGGUGCGACGUUGGAGGCGGCAGCGGGAAGCACUCAGUCAAUGUAAAAAAACAACAAAAGCUUUCAGAGGAAAUAAAAGCAGAUGGCCGGAACUGGAAAACAUUCUUGAAGACUGGGUGAACACUAGAGCUGUAGCAAAGCGUCGAUGACGUCGACGGCUCAAUUCUAAAAAUUCGUCGACGUCAGAUCCGGUAGUCGACGCACCACGGCCACUUUUUGAAUCCCCAGGAGUUUGUAAAUAGAGGAGGAAUCUGCCUGUUUUUCCUCCAGUUCUCCACCCUCACUAACAUCUCUGCCAAAUACCGAAGAACCGGAACAAUGUCCGUCCACUACUAGAUUCCUUUCCUGUUUUGCCCGUCUUCGUCUCCCGGCAAUGGACAACAACUUCCGGGGUCAGAUGCGCUGCUUCGUCUCUAUCGCAGAUGUAGAACAUCACCGGGAGCGUUUCUCCCUUCAUAAAGGAGCUUCUUUCAGACAUUAGGAGAGCUGGUUUGGUGGUAGCGGUCUCUCCUCCGUGCUGGUCUGUUUGCUGCUGGGUAUUUUUGGUUUAUUUAAACUUGGUAACUUGAACUUAACGUUGGUAAAGCUACUGUUAGCAUCUUCGCUAACAGCUUCUUGCGUUCGGAUAAGCUGUUAAGUUUUGGUUUAGAGUUCAUCUUUUUUGUGGUGCAGAUCUCCCUUUUAUUACAUUUAGAGUGUUGUGGGUUUUCGGUUUAGUUUAAAACCUUGAGUUUGGUUUAACCGCCCAGUUUAGAGUUUGGACCUUUGGAGAUCCUUAUUUUGGUCCAGAACCCUGUAAUCUUUGCCCAGUGGGACAUCCCUACUUAUUUGUACUUUUGUUUUAAUUCCCCACAGGCAGGAUUAGUUUUAUUAUUCCCAACCUGUGGAUGGGAAGAUUUAUGAUUUUUGUAGUUGUAAAUAAACCUGAUCAUCAUUUUAACUUUUAAAUCCCGUUAUCGUCCCUUCCUUUUUGCACACGAGCCAAACUCCCCAGGAAGGGUCGUAACACCACUCGCCUCACGCACAUAAGUGACUAAAACAAAGCAGCAUGGAGACACUCCGUCUCUAACCACUUCUCAGGCAGCAGCCUGCACUCCCAAGUUCUACACGUCACCAGAACAUAACCAACCAACACAAUACAAGCAGUGUUAUACAAAAUGCAAGGCCUGUAGUGUUUAUUCUCUUACAGUAACAAUUUAUCACCUUUUUUGAGGAAUUUAUUAGAGAUUUUCUUGUUUUUAUUAAUUGUGCAAUAGUCAUUAGAAUAGUCGACAUUCGGGAGGGACUCGGAGUAGAACCGCUGCUCCUCCGGAUCGAAAGGAGCCAGUUGAGGUGGUUUGGGCAUCUGGUCAGGAUGCCUCCUGGACGCCUCCCCGGGGAGGUGUUUCGGGCAUGUCCUGCCGGCAGAAGGCCCCCGGGGCGACCCAGGACACGUUGGAGAGGUUACAUCUCCAGUCUGGUCCGGGAACGCCUUGGGGUCCUGCCGGAGGAGCUGGUGGACAAGGCCGGGGAGAGGACGGCCUGGAGCUCCCUAGUUGGGAUGCUGCCCCCGCGACCCGGACCCGGAUAAGCGGAGGAAGACGACGACGACGAGACUAUUCGAUAAAAUAAUCGUCAGAAUAAUCUUUUUAAAAAUAACCGUUUACCCCCAGCCCUAGUGAACACACAAAGAGCAGACGGCCGAGGUGUUUCCACUGUGCAGAUCAUUACUAACCAGGCAUGUUUUGUGUACAGUUUUUAUUUUCUAAUUAUCCGGGGCUUGUUAAUGCUGUGUCAGCACUGUUCUUUUCUUCUAAACAGACAGGAGCAAGGUGGAAAAGAGGAGGUUAGUGGAGAAAAGUUUGAAAAAGUGGCCGGUGACUGCAGCUAAGCCAAGCACAGGUGCCAUCUUGUUACCGACCGGAAGCGGUCAUAGAGUCUACUCGAGUAGUCAGACACAAAAACCAGCGAGCUUUGCGGUGGGAAGCUGGAUUGUUUGCCAACGAGGACAACUAGUGAGACAAGUAGAACCAGAUGCAGAUCUGAAAGUGAGCUGGCAGCAACAGGACAACUGUUUUCAUCUGCUGAGACACAGCUGGUUUCACAGCAACAUACCUGAGUAUUACAGGAUGCUCCUGAUUGGUCCUUUUAGAUGGGCUGCUUAUCGAUUUCAGUCUUCAGCCUGAAACCCAAUUUAUACUUCUCCGUCAGCUCCACGAGGGAGAGACACGCAACCACGGAUGGAGACAUUUUGCAGCAGACUGAAAAGUAUAAAUUAGGCUUGAGGCUUUAGUGAGUGAUGCAGCAAUUUUCUGAGUCAGACUUUUAUUUUGAAAAAAAACCCAGGAAUUUUCUUACAACUUGUAAUUGAUGAGUUUAAUUUAAAUGAAAUAAUAAAAAAUCUGUUUUGGUGUGA